Long non-coding RNA from Chrysoperla carnea, 198 nucleotides. RefSeq lists it as uncharacterized. NCBI's taxonomy places the organism in Eukaryota, Metazoa, Arthropoda, Insecta, Neuroptera, Chrysopidae. The record is from RefSeq and is a predicted model, not a curated record. The transcript has 6 exons.
UCACACAAGGAUUGUUCACACAAACAUAUUCAUGUUUUUUACAACAUUUGAAUCAGGAAGCGGGAAAAAGCUAAAAUGGCGUCGACUGGGUACAUGCACCUACUGAACCAAAACUGGUCCUACAUCGAGCAUACCUUGUCUAGUUCUACCAAGAGCUCAAUAUUCUGAAAAAAAUUUUAAAAAAUCCCUUUUUGUACU